RNAcentral lists this ribosomal RNA (2906 nucleotides) under Klebsiella pneumoniae. RNAcentral's name for it is "23S ribosomal RNA". It matches the Rfam family "Bacterial large subunit ribosomal RNA". The record is from RNAcentral. Lineage: Bacteria; Pseudomonadati; Pseudomonadota; Gammaproteobacteria; Enterobacterales; Enterobacteriaceae.
GGGUUGUGAGGUUAAGCGACUAAGCGUACACGGUGGAUGCCCUGGCAGUCAGAGGCGAUGAAGGACGUGCUAAUCUGCGAAAAGCGUCGGUAAGGUGAUAUGAACCGUUAUAACCGGCGAUGUCCGAAUGGGGAAACCCAGUGCAAUUCGUUGCACUAUCGUUAACUGAAUACAUAGGUUAACGAGGCGAACCGGGGAACUGAAACAUCUAAGUACCCCGAGGAAAAGAAAUCAACCGAGAUUCCCCAGUAGCGGCGAGCGAACGGGGAGCAGCCCAGAGUCUGAAUCAGCUUGUGUGUUAGUGGAACGGUCUGGAAAGUCCGACGGUACAGGGUGAUAGUCCGUACACCAAAAUGCACAGGUUGUGAACUCGAAGAGUAGGGCGGGACACGUGGUAUCCUGUCUGAAUAUGGGGACCAUCCUCCAAGGCUAAAUACUCCUGACUGACCGAUAGUGAACCAGUACCGUGAGGGAAAGGCGAAAAGAACCCGGCGAGGGAGUGAAAAGAACCUGAAACCGUGUACGUACAAGCAGUGGGAGCACCUUCGGGUGUGACUGCGUACCUUUGUAUAAUGGGUCAGCGACUUAUAUUCUGUAGCAAGGUUAACCGUAUAGGGGAGCCGCAGGGAAACCGAGUCUUAACUGGGCGUUAAGUUGCAGGGUAUAGACCCGAAACCCGGUGAUCAGCCAUGGGCAGGUUGAAGGUUGGGUAACACUAACUGGAGGACCGAACCGACUAAUGUUGAAAAAUUAGCGGAUGACUUGUGGCUGGGGGUGAAAGGCCAAUCAAACCGGGAGAUAGCUGGUUCUCCCCGAAAGCUAUUUAGGUAGCGCCUCGUGAACUCAUCUUCGGGGGUAGAGCACUGUUUCGGCUAGGGGGUCAUCCCGACUUACCAACCCGAUGCAAACUACGAAUACCGAAGAAUGUUAUCACGGGAGACACACGGCGGGUGCUAACGUCCGUCGUGAAGAGGGAAACAACCCAGACCGCCAGCUAAGGUCCCAAAGUCAUGGUUAAGUGGGAAACGAUGUGGGAAGGCACAGACAGCCGUGAUGUUGGCUUAGAAGCAGCCAUCAUUUAAAGAAAGCGUAAUAGCUCACUGGUCGAGUCGGCCUGCGCGGAAGAUGUAACGGGGCUAAACCAUGCACCGAAGCUGCGGCAGCGACACUAUGUGUUGUUGGGUAGGGGAGCGUUCUGUAAGCCUGCGAAGGUGUGCUGUGAGGCAUGCUGGAGGUAUCAGAAGUGCGAAUGCUGACAUAAGUAACGAUAAAGCGGGUGAAAAGCCCGCUCGCCGGAAGACCAAGGGUUCCUGUCCAACGUUAAUCGGGGCAGGGUGAGUCGACCCCUAAGGCGAGGCCGAAAGGCGUAGUCGAUGGGAAACAGGUUAAUAUUCCUGUACUUGGUGUUACUGCGAAAGGGGACGGAGAAGGCUAUGUUAGCCGGGCGACGGUUGUCCCGGUUUAAGCAUGUAGGCUGAUUGUCCAGGCAAAUCCGGAUAAUCAAGGCUGAGGUGUGAUGACGAGGCACUACGGUGCUGAAGUAACAAAUGCCCUGCUUCCAGGAAAAGCCUCUAAGCAUCAGGUAACAUUAAAUCGUACCCCAAACCGACACAGGUGGUCAGGUAGAGAAUACCAAGGCGCUUGAGAGAACUCGGGUGAAGGAACUAGGCAAAAUGGUGCCGUAACUUCGGGAGAAGGCACGCUGGUGUGUAGGUGAAGUCCCUGCGGAUGGAGCUGAGACCAGUCGAAGAUACCAGCUGGCUGCAACUGUUUAUUAAAAACACAGCACUGUGCAAACACGAAAGUGGACGUAUACGGUGUGACGCCUGCCCGGUGCCGGAAGGUUAAUUGAUGGGGUUAUCCGUAAGGAGAAGCUCUUGAUCGAAGCCCCGGUAAACGGCGGCCGUAACUAUAACGGUCCUAAGGUAGCGAAAUUCCUUGUCGGGUAAGUUCCGACCUGCACGAAUGGCGUAAUGAUGGCCAGGCUGUCUCCACCCGAGACUCAGUGAAAUUGAACUCGCUGUGAAGAUGCAGUGUACCCGCGGCAAGACGGAAAGACCCCGUGAACCUUUACUAUAGCUUGACACUGAACAUUGAGCCUUGAUGUGUAGGAUAGGUGGGAGGCUUUGAAGCGUGGACGCCAGUCUGCGUGGAGCCAACCUUGAAAUACCACCCUUUAAUGUUUGAUGUUCUAACGUUGGCCCCUGACCGGGGUUGCGGACAGUGUCUGGUGGGUAGUUUGACUGGGGCGGUCUCCUCCCAAAGCGUAACGGAGGAGCACGAAGGUUAGCUAAUCCUGGUCGGACAUCAGGAGGUUAGUGCAAUGGCAUAAGCUAGCUUGACUGCGAGCGUGACGGCGCGAGCAGGUGCGAAAGCAGGUCAUAGUGAUCCGGUGGUUCUGAAUGGAAGGGCCAUCGCUCAACGGAUAAAAGGUACUCCGGGGAUAACAGGCUGAUACCGCCCAAGAGUUCAUAUCGACGGCGGUGUUUGGCACCUCGAUGUCGGCUCAUCACAUCCCGGGCUGAAGUAGGUCCCAAGGGUAUGGCUGUUCGCCAUUUAAAGUGGUACGCGAGCUGGGUUUAGAACGUCGUGAGACAGUUCGGUCCCUAUCUGCCGUGGGCGCUGGAGAAUUGAGGGGCUGCUCCUAGUACGAGAGGACCGGGUGGACGCAUCACUGGUGUUCGGGUUGUCAUGCCAAUGGCACUGCCCGGUAGCUAAAUGCGGAAGAGAUAAGUGCUGAAAGCAUCUAAGCACGAAACUUGCCCGAGAUGAGUUCUCCUGAGACUUUAAGUCUCCUGAAGGAACGUUGAAGACGACGACGUUGAUAGGCCGGGUGUGUAAGCGCAGCGAUGCGUUGAGCUAACCGGUACUAAUGAACCGUGAGGCUUAACCUUACAACGCCGAAG